AUCACUUAUGUGCAUUUUGGCUAAGAUCAAGUGUAGUAUCUGUUCUUAUCAGUUUAUUAGUAGGGGACUGUAACACCCCACUUACAUCAGUGGAUAGAUUAU
Ailuropoda melanoleuca (giant panda) is the source of this 102-nucleotide small nuclear RNA. Its record names the gene U2. It matches the Rfam family "U2 spliceosomal RNA". Rfam says of the family: U2 is a small nuclear RNA (snRNA) component of the spliceosome (involved in pre-mRNA splicing). NCBI's taxonomy places the organism in Eukaryota, Metazoa, Chordata, Mammalia, Carnivora, Ursidae. The record is from Ensembl.